This 120-nucleotide non-coding RNA is filed under the name Odontella aurita. The record is from RNAcentral. Lineage: Eukaryota; Bacillariophyta; Thalassiosirophyceae; Eupodiscales; Odontellaceae.
CAGGGGGAGGCCCGCCGCAGUCUCAUCUCCAAGAGGAGGUCCACCCGCCGCUCGGCCAAGCUUGCCGAGACCUCCUAAGUUUAGGGAGGGGAGAGGCAUGGGUCCCCCAUAGGAAAGAAA